This 957-nucleotide non-coding RNA is filed under the name Lophuromys chrysopus. The record is from RNAcentral. Lineage: Eukaryota; Metazoa; Chordata; Mammalia; Rodentia; Muridae.
AAAAGGUUUGGUCCUGGCCUUAUAAUUAGUUGAGAGUAAAAUUACACAUGCAAAUCUCCAUACUCCGGUGUCAAAUCCCAUAAAACUAGUCCCACCUAGCCAAAGGAGAGGAUAUCAAGCACAUUCAACCUAUAGCUCAAGACAUCUUGCCCCAGCCACACCCCCACGGGAUACAGCAGUGAUAAAAAUUAAGCAAUGAACGAAAGUUUGACUAAGUUACACUCUCGAGGGUUGGUAAAUUUCGUGCCAGCCACCGCGGUCAUACGAUUAACCCGAACUAAUUAUCAAGCGGCGUAAAAGGUGUUACAUAAGAUAAAAAAUAGAAUUAAAAUUCAACUUAUAUGUGAAAAUUCAUUGUUAGAACCUAAACACAAUAACGAAAGUAAUUCUAAUACCCUUACAUACACGAUAGCUAAGACCCAAACUGGGAUUAGAUACCCCACUAUGCUUAGCCCUAAACUUCAAUAAUUACUAACAAAAUUAUUUGCCAGAGAACUACUAGCCACAGCUUAAAACUCAAAGGACUUGGCGGUACUUUAUAUCCAUCUAGAGGAGCCUGUUCUAUAAUCGAUACACCCCGUUAUACCUCACCACCCCUUGCUAAUACAGCCUAUAUACCGCCAUCUUCAGCAAACCCUAAAAAGGAACACAAGUAAGCAAGAGAACAAACAUAAAAACGUUAGGUCAAGGUGUAGCCUAUGAGGUGGGAAGCAAUGGGCUACAUUUUCUUUAACAAGAACAUACGAAAACCUUUAUGAAACUAAAGGACUAAGGAGGAUUUAGCAGUAAAUUAAGAAUAGAGAGCUUAAUUGAAUAGAGCAAUGAAGUGCGCACACACCGCCCGUCACCCUCCUCAAAUUAAAUUAUAUUUCCCCUAAAUAAAACAAAACAAACCAAUUUAUGAGAGGAGAUAAGUCGUAACAAGGUAAGCAUACUGGAAAGUGUGCUUGGAAUAAC